GAGGUUCUAAGAGCCCACUCUCUGCCAUUUGCUUGAUAUUGUGAGGGAACUUCUCUAGAUUUUUUAAGAUUUGGUCUGCUGUUUCAGACGCAAAGGCAUCCGACUCUUCGUUGUACUUUGAGGUAACUAGCAUCAAUAUUGCCCCUGUAGCAUUCCCAAUCUUCUUACAUGCAUGUUGAGAUUUCGAAAGCUCAAGCAGUAAGGCUAGUGCUGCAUGUCUUACAGUCUGGUGACUGCUUCCCAAAAAUUUGAUCACGCAUGACAUAGCUAACGUAUUCACAAUCAUUUCCUGUAAGAUAACUUUGAGAUAUAAAAAAAAACAUUGAAACAGGAACUAGCUGUGUCUAAAAUGCAACUUUAAGUAGUGUAAAUGAAAGAGGUCGAACCUUUCCUUCAUCAGUGUCUUCAUCUGCUAGUGUCUUUAACAAUUGUAGCAGUUCAUACCUCACAUCUUUACUUCUGUACGAUAGGUAUCUGUCAAGCAACUGAAUGAUCCCAGCUUCACGGACUUUUAACUUGUUGUACUCUUUCCCUUCACAGGUCAUUUGCAGAUCCCUUAAUGCAUCGAUAACCAUGCUUUCUGAACCGCCUAAGGAUAAAGCUGCGUGAGCCACCUUGAUUCUUGCUG
RNAcentral lists this long non-coding RNA (628 nucleotides) under Brassica napus (rape). Its description in RNAcentral is "long non-coding RNA (BNAP_LNC019159)". The record is from RNAcentral. Lineage: Eukaryota; Viridiplantae; Streptophyta; Magnoliopsida; Brassicales; Brassicaceae.